RNAcentral lists this ribosomal RNA (253 nucleotides) under uncultured bacterium. RNAcentral describes it as "partial 16S ribosomal RNA". It matches the Rfam family "Bacterial small subunit ribosomal RNA", at positions 524 to 776 of the family's 1533-position model. The record is from RNAcentral.
GACAGAGGGGGCAAGCGUUGCUCGGAAUCACUGGGCGUAAAGGGCGCGUAGGCGGGAUGGCAAGUCGGUCGUGAAAUCUCUCGGCUCAACCGAGAAACGUCGGCCGAUACUGCUGUUCUUGAGGGAUGCAGAGGAGACUGGAAUUCCCGGUGUAGCGGUGAAAUGUGUAGAGAUCGGGAGGAACACCGGUGGCGAAGGCGGGUCUCUGGGACGGUACUGACGCUGAGACGCGAAAGCGUGGGGAGCGAACAGG